CCUACGGGGGGCAGCAGUGGGGGAUAUUGCACAAUGGGGGAAACCCUGAUGCAGCGACGCCGCGUGGGUGAAGAAGCGCCUCGGCGCGUAAAGCCCUGUCAGCAGGGAAGAAAAUGACGGUACCUGAAGAAGAAGCCCCGGCUAACUACGUGCCAGCAGCCGCGGUAAUACGUAGGGGGCAAGCGUUAUCCGGAUUUACUGGGUGUAAAGGGGGAGCAGACGGCGAUGCAAGCCAGGAGGGAAAGCCCGGGGCCCAACCCCGGGACUGCUCUUGGAACUGCGUGGCUAGAGUGCAGGAGGGGCAGGCGGAAGUCCUGGUGUAGCGGUGAAAUGCGUAGAUAUCAGGAGGAACACCGGUGGCGAAGGCGGCCUGCUGGACUGCAACUGACGUUGAGGCCCGAAAGCGUGGGGAGCAAACAGGAUUAGAUACCCCAGUAGUC
RNAcentral lists this ribosomal RNA (440 nucleotides) under uncultured bacterium. RNAcentral describes it as "partial 16S ribosomal RNA". It matches the Rfam family "Bacterial small subunit ribosomal RNA", at positions 338 to 795 of the family's 1533-position model. The record is from RNAcentral.